UAAUCCCGGAGCCCCGAGUGGUGACCACAAUUAUUGGGCCUAAAGCGUCCGUAGCCGGACUGAAAAGUCCUUGGUGAAAUCCUUUCUCACAAGGAAAGGGCGUGCUGAGGAUACUAUUAGCCUAGGGACCGGGAGGGGGCGAAGGUAUUCCUGGGGUAAGGGUUAAAUCUAGUAAUCCCAGGAGGACCACCGGUGGCGAAGGCGUUCGCCUGGAACGGGUCCGACGGUGAGGGACGAAAGCCAAGGUAGCGAACCGGAUUAGAUACCCGGGUAGUCUUGGCCGUAAACGCUGCCCACUAGGUGUUGCAUGUUCUUCGUGAGCAUGCAGUGCCGGAGCGAAGGUGUUAAGUGGGCCGCCUGGGGAGUACGAUCGCAAGGUUG
This 381-nucleotide ribosomal RNA is filed under the name uncultured archaeon. RNAcentral describes it as "bacterial SSU rRNA". It matches the Rfam family "Archaeal small subunit ribosomal RNA", at positions 471 to 851 of the family's 1478-position model. The record is from RNAcentral.